GAUGAAUGCUGGCGGCGUGCCUAAUACAUGCAAGUCGAGCGAACAGACGAGGAGCUUGCUCCUCUGACGUUAGCGGCGGACGGGUGAGUAACACGUGGAUAACCUACCUAUAAGACUGGGAUAACUUCGGGAAACCGGAGCUAAUACCGGAUAAUAUAUUGAACCGCAUGGUUCAAUAGUGAAAGACGGUUUUGCUGUCACUUAUAGAUGGAUCCGCGCCGCAUUAGCUAGUUGGUAAGGUAACGGCUUACCAAGGCAACGAUGCAUAGCCGACCUGAGAGGGUGAUCGGCCACACUGGAACUGAGACACGGUCCAGACUCCUACGGGAGGCAGCAGUAGGGAAUCUUCCGCAAUGGGCGCAAGCCUGCCGGAGCCACGCCGCGUGAGUGAUGAAGGUCUUCGGAUCGUAAAACUCUUUUAUUAGGGAAGAACAAAUGUGUAAUUAACUAUGCACGUUUUGACGGUACCUAAUCAGAAAGCCCCGGCUAACUACGUG
Molecule: ribosomal RNA, 497 nt
Filed under: uncultured bacterium
Lineage: Bacteria
Description: partial 16S ribosomal RNA
Rfam family: Bacterial small subunit ribosomal RNA
Source: RNAcentral